GAGUUUGAUCAUGGCUCAGGACGAACGCUGGCGGCGUGCUUAACACAUGCAAGUCGAACGAGGCCCUGCCUUCGGGCAGGUGACCUAGUGGCGAACGGGGUGAGUAACACGUGGGCAACCUACCCUCAGCUCUGGGAUAACCCCGGGAAACCGGAGCUAAUACCGGAUAUGACCUGGAACGACAUCGUUCUUGGUGGAAAGUUUUUCGGCUGAGGAUGGGCCCGCGGCCUAUCAGCUUGUUGGUGGGGUAAUGGCCUACCAAGGCGACGACGGGUAGCCGGCCUGAGAGGGCGAUCGGCCACACUGGGACUGAGACACGGCCCAGACUCCUACGGGAGGCAGCAGUGGGGAAUAUUGCGCAAUGGGCGAAAGCCUGACGCAGCGACGCCGCGUGAGGGAUGAAGGCCUUCGGUUGUAAACCGUCUUUCUAGCAGGACGAAGACGAAGUAGACGGUACCGUCGCAGAAGAAGACACCGGCC
Molecule: ribosomal RNA, 480 nt
Filed under: uncultured bacterium
Lineage: Bacteria
Description: bacterial SSU rRNA
Rfam family: Bacterial small subunit ribosomal RNA
Source: RNAcentral